GGGCCAUAUGGGUCAUGGGGAAAAUGUCAGAGACAACAACCCGACCAAAGAGCAUUUGUAACAGAUUACACAGUGUAAAAUAGGAUGAAAUAAGAAUUCUAUUAAGACUAACAUAGGAAAGUCCAACCCUCACCAUAAAAAUCACUGCUAUAAUUUAAGCUGAUAUGAAUGGUGCACAAUUGUGUAAGAGCCUGGUAGAAAAGG
This 204-nucleotide long non-coding RNA is filed under the name Mytilus galloprovincialis (Mediterranean mussel). The record is from RNAcentral. Lineage: Eukaryota; Metazoa; Mollusca; Bivalvia; Mytilida; Mytilidae.